This is a long non-coding RNA of Ipomoea nil (Japanese morning glory), 615 nucleotides long. RefSeq lists it as uncharacterized. NCBI's taxonomy places the organism in Eukaryota, Viridiplantae, Streptophyta, Magnoliopsida, Solanales, Convolvulaceae. The record is from RefSeq and is a predicted model, not a curated record. The transcript is spliced from 2 exons.
UGAAUUCCCUUAUACGUGUGCCAGAAAUGCUCUUUUGAUCGAAAACUUAGGCAACAUUUUCUUCAAAAUGGAUGUGGCAAUACCAAAAGGCUGUCAUUUUUUUUUUUUUUGGAAAUACUCGUGAUUUUUUUACAAGGUAGUAUAUGUUCUAUACUCUCUCAAUAUUUUCCAGCCCAAAGAAUCAAUCCCCCCACCACCGGGGUUCGAUCCUGUUACCGCCCUCUGGGAAUGGUUCAAGCCGUUUACAAUGCCAUGAGAAGAGACGACCGGAUGAAAUACUUUUUGUAAAUCAGGUGGUUGGUUUACUCACAUUGUAUAGGGCACACAAUUAGAUGGGGCAUUCCCCUAACAUGAUCUGCUAUUUAUUGUUCAGAUUUAAUGCCUUUUUAGUUUACUUUUAAACCAGCCUUAACCUUUGUUUGGAAAUAUGUCAUUUUGAAUUCCCAUGAGGGGUGGGUUCAGUAUCUCUAUGACUCUAUCUGUUCAAAUAUCAAUGUGCCAACAGCAAUUGGUGUAUAAUUUUUUUGGUUUUGUUUUUCAAGUGUAAUGAAUAUUUACUUUUAAGUAUGAUGAAGAUUAUAAUAAUUAUUAUAAUGAAUAUUUAUGAUUUUGGUA